GAUGAAUUGGGGCGAAUCAUUGAGGCUGACAACAAGAGGUACUCAGACCAACUGAAAGCUCGAUGGGGAAAGUUUUACCAAAAUGCACUGUUCUUUGGAGCGUGGAAGAAGGCAUUGAAACCACCUAUGGGUCUGGAUGAAUCUGCACAGGCCAUUGCCUUUAUGGAGGCACUCCCACAAAUGUUCCCUUCCCCAACCGCCCCCCCGAGAAAACUAAAGUCAGCAAGUGAGGCUCUCUACCAUGUCCUUGAGCCAUCUGAGGACCCCAAUGUCUUUUUGCAAAAAAGGCCGCUUAGGACUCCCGUCAUCCUCAUCGACACAAAAAAUGUGCUUCUGGCAGUUAGCAAUACUCCGGUGAUGACCUUACCAAGGGACAUGCUUCCGCAAUCCCUAAUAAUCAUGAUGGGUUGCUAUUAUGUGUUCCAGUUCACAUAUCCAAAAUGUAUUGCAACACUAUUGUCAAUCAUACAGACAGAGGUACUCAAGGAUGCAAUUCACGAGAGUGACAUGACCACAUCAUAUAAGAAGGUGCUUACUGAUUGGCAAGAAUUUUUCAAAACCUAGUCUGUCUCCCCCUUUGUCUUUGUCAACCUCUCUCUGUAUGUCACUCUUCUCUAUGUCUCUCUCCCUUUUCAUUUACAG
Clupea harengus (Atlantic herring) is the source of this 642-nucleotide long non-coding RNA. NCBI's taxonomy places the organism in Eukaryota, Metazoa, Chordata, Actinopteri, Clupeiformes, Clupeidae. The record is from Ensembl.